GGAAGGGUGGCAGAGUGGACGAAUGCACAGGUCUUGAAAACCUGCAUGGCGGCAACGUCAUCGAGGGUUCGAAUCCCUCCCCUUCCG
This 87-nucleotide transfer RNA is filed under the name Candidatus Woesebacteria bacterium. RNAcentral describes it as "tRNA-Ser". It matches the Rfam family "tRNA". From Rfam's summary of the family: Transfer RNA (tRNA) molecules are approximately 80 nucleotides in length. Their secondary structure includes four short double-helical elements and three loops (D, anti-codon, and T loops). Lineage: Bacteria; Candidatus Woeseibacteriota. The record is from RNAcentral.